CUGAGGCGGUGACCUGCUGAGGACAUUG
This 28-nucleotide ribosomal RNA is filed under the name Ipomoea batatas (sweet potato). Its description in RNAcentral is "partial 18S ribosomal RNA". The record is from RNAcentral. Lineage: Eukaryota; Viridiplantae; Streptophyta; Magnoliopsida; Solanales; Convolvulaceae.